Molecule: ribosomal RNA, 1464 nt
Filed under: Dynomene pilumnoides
Lineage: Eukaryota; Metazoa; Arthropoda; Malacostraca; Decapoda; Dynomenidae
Description: 16S ribosomal RNA
Rfam family: Bacterial large subunit ribosomal RNA (bases 885-1255)
Source: RNAcentral
GUUAAUUAAUUGUUGGUUUUAGAAGGUAUAAAUAUAAUAAGUAAGAAAAAUAAUUUUUAUAAUUUAAAUAUAAGUAUUUAUUUUGGAAUUUAGUGUUGAGGCUAUAGAUUAGAAGUAUUGUAAAAGAAAUUUUAAAUAUAAGUGAAAAAGAAAAGGAAGAAAAGUAAUUUUUGGUUUUUGUACCUUGGGUAUCAGGGAAAAUUAAAAUAGACUAAUUAAAUAGAUUUCCCGAAAGAAGAAUAGUUAAUUUCUAUUUAUAGUUUUUGUUUCAAAAAAAUUAAAAAAUGGAUUUUAAAGGUGAAAUGUUAGUCGGGUCUUUAAUAUCUGGUUUUUUGUGAAUGAAUUUAAUUCUUGUUUUAUUUAAAAAGUAAAUAAAAUGAAGGGGUAGGAGGGAUUGAGCUUCUUACUUUAAAUUAUUAUAUAAUAUAAGAGUGUAUAAUGUUAAUUUUUAGAAUUAGGCUUAAAAGUAGCUAUAUAAUUAAAGUGUUUUAACUAAUUUUUUGAUUAGAAUUUAUAUAAUUUUUAUCUUUUUAGCAGAAUAUUUUAGUAAAUAUUAUUAUAAAAGAGAAAAUGAUUUUAUUAGUAGAUAUUUUUGUAAAAUUUAAAAUUAAAAUAAUUGUAAUAGUAUAAUAGGAGGAAUGAUUGUAAAAAGGAAUUCGGCAAAAAAAUUGCUUGCCUGUUUAUCAAAAACAUGUCUGUUUGUGAGGUGUAGAGAGUCUAAUCUGCCCACUGAGGAUUUAAAGGGCCGCGGUAUCCUAACCGUGCAAAGGUAGCAUAAUCAUUAGUCUUUUAAUUGAAGGCUUGUAUGAAUGAUUGGACAAAGUAAUUACUGUCUUUAUUGAAGAAAUUGAAGUUAACUUUAAAGUGAAAAGGCUUUAAUAGUUUAGGGGGACGAUAAGACCCUAUAAAGCUUUACAUAAUUUUUGUUUUUAUAGAUUUAUAAGUUUAAUUGUGAAAAAAAUAAAUUGUGUUUUGUUGGGGUGACAAGGGUAUAAUUUUUGGUAACUGCUUUAUUUUUAAAUACAUUAAUAUAUGGUUAUUUUGAUCCUUAAUAAAGAUUAAUAGAAUAAGUUACUUUAGGGAUAACAGCGUUAUUUUUCUUGAGAGUCCUUAUCGAAAGAAAAGAUUGCGACCUCGAUGUUGAAUUAAAAUUUCUUUAUAAUGCAGAAGUUAUAAUAGAAGGUCUGUUCGACCUUUAAAUUUUUACAUGAUUUGAGUUCAGACCGGUGUAAACCAGGUUGGUUUCUAUCUCUUAAUAAAUAAUGAAUUAUUUUAGUACGAAAGGAUUGAAUAAUUGAAAUAUUUUUAUGAAUUGAAUAAGAAUAACUGUUUAUCGGUUGGUAUUAGCUUCGGGUUAAGGAUUAGUUAAGCAUAUGAUAAUAAAUUUUAAGGUUUAUGUAAGAAUCUAUAUAAAUAAAAUAAUAUAUUUGGAAAAAAAAGAAUAAAAUUAAUAAUUUUAUAUUA